AGGAGGAUGACAUGCUGCACCUCUCGUCCGAUAGAGAGGCCCCUUUUCCCCCUCUUUUGUUGUGCUCUAGGCACGAUUGAUCAGGCCGCAAACUAGCUUGCCUCUAUCUAACUUGUGUGCCAUUAUUUUUCACCCUGGAAUUUGCCGUCUUGCUGCAUCAUAUUAAACUUAAUGCUCAAGAUGUACAUUAGCAGAUAAUUAACCAAGGAGAGCCACCCUCCAUCCCAGGCACCCUAUUGGAUCCUAACUCAGCAAUUGUGUGUAGCCUUGCAACGAGUUCAUCCUGGACUCAAAGGCCACCAUCGGUCAAGUUCCACACCAAGAAACCAUCGGACAGAUCUGGGACACCACGUGACAAGAAAAGGUUUGCAUGGAAGAGUUAAGAGGAUGAUUUGAGGACAGUGAGGCUCUCUGCCACCCCUACCAAUAGCCAUGAUGCGUGUGGAACACCCCUGCUUCCUGAUGACGCAAGGCUGGUGCUGCUCCCUUUAUUCAUUGAGUAUGGUUCUACUUGCACAAAAAUAAGAUGGAGUGCACGUCUGCACCUAGUGGCAUAUUAACCAACUUCCGUUGGUCCACACAAAGGUACUACACGAGUUUGCUGAUGGGAGACAGAGACAGCGGGCGGCAUGCUUGCUGGUGCUGCUGCCAUGCCCUACACUCUGCAGCCAAAAAACUU
Molecule: long non-coding RNA, 679 nt
Organism: Lolium rigidum
Lineage: Eukaryota; Viridiplantae; Streptophyta; Magnoliopsida; Poales; Poaceae
Exons: 3
Source: RefSeq, a predicted model, not a curated record